AUUGAACGCUGGCGGCAGGCCUAACACAUGCAAGUCGAGCGGAUGAAGGGAGCUUGCUCCUGGAUUCAGCGGCGGACGGGUGAGUAAUGCCUAGGAAUCUGCCUGGUAGUGGGGGAUAACGUCCGGAAACGGGCGCUAAUACCGCAUACGUCCUGAGGGAGAAAGUGGGGGAUCUUCGGACCUCACGCUAUCAGAUGAGCCUAGGUCGGAUUAGCUAGUUGGUGGGGUAAAGGCCUACCAAGGCGACGAUCCGUAACUGGUCUGAGAGGAUGAUCUGUCACACUGGAACUGAGACACGGUCCAGACUCCUACGGGAGGCAGCAGUGGGGAAUAUUGGACAAUGGGCGAAAGCCUGAUCCAGCCAUGCCGCGUGUGUGAAGAAGGUCUUCGGAUUGUAAAGCACUUUAAGUUGGGAGGAAGGGCAGUAAGUUAAUACCUUGCUGUUUUGACGGUACCAACAGAAUAAGCACCGGCUAACUUCGUG
Molecule: ribosomal RNA, 484 nt
Filed under: uncultured bacterium
Lineage: Bacteria
Description: partial 16S ribosomal RNA
Rfam family: Bacterial small subunit ribosomal RNA
Source: RNAcentral